Molecule: ribosomal RNA, 1340 nt
Filed under: uncultured bacterium
Lineage: Bacteria
Description: bacterial SSU rRNA
Rfam family: Bacterial small subunit ribosomal RNA
Source: RNAcentral
AUUCGAUUAGAGUUUGAUCAUGGCUCAGAACGUACGCUGGCGGCACGCCUAACACAUGCAAGUCGAACGAAGUAGCAAUACUUAGUGGCAGACGGGUGAGUAACAUGUAGGUAUCUGCCCUUUGGCCUGGAAUAACACGAGGAAACUUGUGCUAAUACCGGAUAAGUCUUUACGGAGAAAGCUUUAUGCACCAUUGGAUGAGCCUGCACUUGAUUAGUUUGUUGGUGGGGUAAUGGCCUACCAAGACUGUGAUCAAUAGCUGAUUUGAGAGGAUGAUCAGCCACAUUGGGACUGAGACACGGCCCAAACUCCUACGGGAGGCAGCAGUGGGGAAUCUUGCACAAUGGAGGAAACUCUGAUGCAGCGAUGCCGCGUGAGUGAAGAAGGCCCUUGGGUUGUAAAGCUCUUUCGUCGGGGAAGAAAAUGACUGUACCCGAAUAAGAAGGUCCGGCUAACUUCGUGCCAGCAGCCGCGGUAAUACGAAGGGACCUAGCGUAGUUCGGAAUUACUGGGCUUAAAGAGUUCGUAGGUGGUUGAAAAAGUUAGUGGUGAAAUCCCAGAGCUUAACUCUGGAACUGCCAUUAAAACUUUUCAGCUAGAGUAUGAUAGAGGAAAGCAGAAUUUCUAGUGUAGAGGUGAAAUUCGUAGAUAUUAGAAAGAAUACCAAUUGCGAAGGCAGCUUUCUGGAUCAUUACUGACACUGAGGAACGAAAGCAUGGGUAGCGAAGAGGAUUAGAUACCCUCGUAGUCCAUGCCGUAAACGAUGUGUGUUAGACGUUGGAAAUUUAUUUUCAGUGUCGCAGCGAAAGCGAUAAACACACCGCCUGGGGAGUACGACCGCAAGGUUAAAACUCAAAUGAAUUGACGGGGACCCGCACAAGUAGUGGAGCAUGUGGUUUAAUUCGAAGAUACGCGCAGAACCUUACCAACACUUGACAUGUUCGUCGCGACUCUAAGAGAUUAGAGUUUUCGGUUCGGCCGGACGAAACACAGGUGCUGCAUGGCUGUCGUCAGCUCGUGUCGUGAGAUGUUGGGUUAAGUCCCGCAACGAGCGCAACCCUCACUUUUAGUUGCCAUCAUUUAGUUGGGCACUCUGAAAGAACUGCCAGUGAUAAGCUGGAGGAAGGUGGGGAUGACGUCAAGUCCUCAUGGCCCUUACGUGUUGGGCUACACACGUGCUACAAUGGUAUCUACAACAGGAAGCAAGACUGCGAGGUCAAGCAAAUCCUUAAAAGAUACCUCAGUUCGGAUUGCACUCUGCAACUCGAGUGCAUGAAGCUGGAAUUACUAGUAAUCGUGGAUCAGCGUGCCACGGUGAAUGCGUUCCCGGGUCUUGUAGA